This is a long non-coding RNA of Spinacia oleracea (spinach), 474 nucleotides long. RefSeq lists it as uncharacterized. The transcript is spliced from 2 exons. NCBI's taxonomy places the organism in Eukaryota, Viridiplantae, Streptophyta, Magnoliopsida, Caryophyllales, Amaranthaceae. The record is from RefSeq and is a predicted model, not a curated record.
AUACUGAUAAUGCCUUCCUUUUAUCUUUAAUAGUUCUCACAUCUUAAGCUGGUGAUAUUUUACAGUAUUUCACUUGGUUGAGGAUACCAACAUGAUAGAUGGUACAUUUUUUGUGCUAUCUUUAUCCAUUUGUCCAUCUUAAAACUAAGCAGGAGUGGAUGGAUACAAGGAAUAUAUCCUCAUAGAGAUUUGUGAGAGGAUACUUUCUUCUCCAUCAGAUGUUUGUUGGUGCCUCAAAUUCACCCAUGGGCAUGUUUGAAGCAUAUCUUCCCCUGUAAUUAUAGAAAUAUGCAAACCUAGAGAAGUCGGAUUGUGUGGUUUGGCUGCAAGGAAAUUGCAAAAAUAAAGGCCCCAUAUGAAUUGGCAUACAUUAUAAACCCACUUGGAUCAGUGUUUUCCUGAUUACUGUUGUAAGUUAAGAACCUCGUAAAAUUUUUACACAUCUUAAGAAAUAAGAAGUGAAUCUGUGUGCUA